UACGAAGGGGGCUAGCGUUGCUCGGAAUUACUGGGCGUAAAGCGCACGUAGGCGGCUCUUUAAGUCGGGGGUGAAAUCCUGGAGCUCAACUCCAGAACUGCCUUCGAUACUGUAGAGCUUGAGUUCGGGAGAGGUGGGUGGAAUUCCUAGUGUAGAGGUGAAAUUCGUAGAUAUUAGGAAGAACACCGGUGGCGAAGGCGGCCCACUGGCUCGAUACUGACGCUGAGGUGCGAAAGCGUGGGGAGCAAACAGG
Molecule: ribosomal RNA, 253 nt
Filed under: uncultured bacterium
Lineage: Bacteria
Description: partial 16S ribosomal RNA
Rfam family: Bacterial small subunit ribosomal RNA
Source: RNAcentral